CACGGAUUAUAAAUAAGGCUUUUUCUUGAGUCAGAGUAUCCUCAGAAGCUUGAAAGUCAGGAGGAUGGCAGCAGCCCCACUCCACCUCUUCCUUCUCCUCCUAUGUUUCACAGCUUCCAAUGGGCAGAUCACGCUCACCCAGCAAGCAGAGGCCCUUUGGGUUUCUCUAGGAGAGAGAGUCUCCAUCACCUGCAGGGCCAGUCAGAGCCUCCUCUACACAGAUGGAAAGCACUACCUAUCCUGGUACCAGCAGAGACCAGGGCACAACAUCAAGGCCCUCAUUUACCAUGCUUCAGUCAGGACUGAUGGAGUCCCCACAAGGUUCAUAGGCAGCGGAUCUGCAACAGAAUUCACCCUCACUAUUGAAGACAUUAAGGCUGAGGACUUUUCAGUUUAUCACUGUCUUCAAACACUGAAGAGCCCUUCCACAGUGAUAGAAUCUUGAACAAAAACACCCCAG
Molecule: non-coding RNA, 460 nt
Organism: Apodemus sylvaticus (European woodmouse)
Lineage: Eukaryota; Metazoa; Chordata; Mammalia; Rodentia; Muridae
Source: the annotation of a RefSeq genome assembly